CAGUACUCUAGCUGAUCGAGCAGUCAAAAGGCUGCUUGACCUAAGCAUCUUCUUUUCCAAAAAGUGAAGGAAUUAGUAACCAAUGUAAUGGAAACAGAAAUCACCAGAAUACUGAGGCCUGAGCAGGAGGCUGCUGUGCUUUGGCAGGAACCCCGAGGCUGCCGUGCUGUCUGCUGUGGGGAGCCUGCAGAGCUGCUUCCUCUGCCAAGCUAAUGAAUGGCCAAUUGGUUUUGGAGCUGCUGUGAGGAGAACAAGGAGUGACAAUAAAUGGGAAAUACUGCGGCUACAGGUCAGCCCAGAAGCCUUGAGCCAGAUGCCUCAGUGAAAAACGUUGUAUUUCAUAUUUCUGUCAUGCAUACAAUGGAAAGCACCCUACGUCCAACAUAGGAAGCAUUCUAUUCAACACAGCUUUUUGGAGGUUUCGAUACAAAUUUUUGUACCAAAAAUUGGCCUCACUAUGGAGCAAAUUCAGAGCUCCCUGUCGCUGCUGGGGUUCUAUAUACCACACCAGGCCCCCUGAUCUGCUCGAGGGCACUUUGACAGCCAGUGCUGCAACAGCCAAGGUGCAGCAUGAACUGGGGCCUUCGCAACUGCAGAAAGGUCAAAUCUUGUUUCCUUGUUGAAGGUCUUCCAAGCCCCAGCAAAAAUACUUCAGUUCUUUAAUUUUGCCCACAUGUAUCUUGUAUGUUUAGCCCUAGCACCUCAAAGCUUGGAUGUUUUCCUGUGA
Molecule: long non-coding RNA, 727 nt
Filed under: Zonotrichia albicollis (white-throated sparrow)
Lineage: Eukaryota; Metazoa; Chordata; Aves; Passeriformes; Passerellidae
Description: lncRNA (ENSZALG00000009570.1)
Source: RNAcentral